Molecule: ribosomal RNA, 117 nt
Filed under: Bacillota bacterium
Lineage: Bacteria; Bacillati; Bacillota
Also listed under: 1 other name
Source: RNAcentral
UCCGGUGGCAAUAGAGGAAGGGUCACACCUGUUCCCAUUCCGAACACAGUAGUAAAGCCUUCCAUCGCCGAUAGUACUGGGCUGGAGACGGCCCGGGAGGGUAGGUAGCUGCCGGAU